GUUUUAAGCAUGCAAGUCGAACGGCAGCAUGAUAGAGCUUGCUCUAUUGAUGGCGAGUGGCGGACGGGUGAGUAACGCGUAGGAAUUUACCUGCAGGACUGGGAUAGCUAAGGGAAACUUUAGGUAAUACCGGAUGAUAUCGAGAGAUCAAAGGGGCUUUACGGCCUUGCCUAUAGAUGAGCCUGCGUACCAUCAGCUAGUUGGUUAGGUAAUAGCUGACCAAGGCUAAGACGGUUAGCCGGCUUGAGAGAGUGGCCGGCCACAAGGGUACUGAGACACGGACCCUACUCCUACGGGAGGCAGCAGCCAAGAAUAUUCCGCAAUGGGGGAAACCCUGACGGAGCGACACUGUGUGAAUGAUGAAGGCCUUCGGGUUGUAAAGUUCUUUUAUAAAGGAAGAAUAAGUUGGGUAGGAAAUGAUUCAAUGAUGACGGUACUUUAUGAAUAAGUCCCGGCUAAUUACGUGCCAGCAGCCGCGGUAAUACGUAAGGGACGAGCGUUAUUCGGAAUUACUGGGCGUAAAGGGCGUGUAGGCGGCCGAUUAGGCUGAGUGUUAAAGACUGGGGCUCAACUCCAGAAAGGCAUUCAGAACCGGUUGGCUAGAAUCUGGUGGAAGACAGCGGAAUUUCCUGUGUAGCGGUGGAAUGCAUAGAUAUGGGAAGGAACACCAAAGGCGAAGGCAGCUGUCUAUGCCGAGAUUGACGCUGAGGCGCGAAAGUGUGGGGAUCAAAUAGGAUUAGAUACCCUAGUAGUCCACACUGUAAACGAUGUACACUUAGAAUUGCGCGAGAGCGUGGUUCUGUAGCUAACGCGGUAAGUGUACCGCCUGGGGAGUACGCUCGCAAGGGUGAAACUCAAAGAAAUUGACGGGGGCCCGCACAAGUGGUGGAGCACGUGGAUUAAUUCGAUGCUAAGCGAAGAACCUUACCAAGGCUUGACAUAUACGGAAUACAUUAGAAAUAGUGUAGUCUUCGGACCCGUAUACGGGUGCUGCAUGGCUGUCGGCAGCUCGUGUCG
Molecule: ribosomal RNA, 1017 nt
Filed under: uncultured Spirochaeta sp.
Lineage: Bacteria; Pseudomonadati; Spirochaetota; Spirochaetia; Spirochaetales; Spirochaetaceae
Description: bacterial SSU rRNA
Rfam family: Bacterial small subunit ribosomal RNA
Source: RNAcentral